Molecule: transfer RNA, 79 nt
Rfam family: tRNA
About the family: Transfer RNA (tRNA) molecules are approximately 80 nucleotides in length. Their secondary structure includes four short double-helical elements and three loops (D, anti-codon, and T loops).
Source: Rfam
GUACUUUUGUCCGAGUGGUUAAGGAGUUAGCUUUAGGCGCUAAUGGGAAACCGCGUGGGUUCGAACCCCACAGAGUACA